UUCCGGUUGAUCCUGCCAGACCCGACUGCUAUCAGAGUGAGAUUAAGCCAUGCGAGUCAACGUAGCAAUACGUGGCAUACGGCUCAGUAACACGUAGUCAACAUAACCAAAGGACGUGGAUAAACUCGGGAAACUGAGGCUAAACCGCGAUAGAUCAAGAUACCUGGAAUGGUUUUUGAUCAAAAUCUAUAUGGCCUUUGGAUUGGACUGCGUCCGAUCAGGCUGUUGGUGAGGUAAUGGCCCACCAAACCUAUAACCGGUACGGGCUCUGAGAGGAGGAGCCCGGAGAUGGGUACUGAGAUAAGGACCCAGGCCCUAUGGGGCGCAGCAGGCGCGAAACCUCUGCAAUAGGCGAAAGCUUGACAGGGUUACUCUGAGUGACUUUCGUUAAGAGAGUCUUUUGACACCUCUAAAAAUGGUGUAGAAUAAGGGGUGGGCAAGUCUGGUGUCAGCCGCCGCGGUAAUACCAGCACCCCGAGUGGUCGGGACGAUUAUUGGGCCUAAAGCAUCCGUAGCCGGCCUUACAAGUCCUCCGUUAAAUCCAGCUGCUUAACAGAUGGGCUGCGGAGGAUACUAUAAGACUAGGAGGCAGGAGAGGCAAGCGGUACUCAGUGGGUAGGGGUAAAAUCCGUUGAUCCAUUGAAGACCACCAGUGGCGAAGGCGGCUUGCCAGAAUGCGCUCGACGGUGAGGGAUGAAAGCUGGGGGAGCAAACCGGAUUAGAUACCCGGGUAGUCCAGCCGUAAACGAUGCAGACUCGGUGAUGGACUAGCUUUAUGCUGGUCCAGUGCCGCAGGGAAGCCGUUAAGUCUGCCGCCUGGGUAGUACGGUCGCAAGACUGAAACUUAAAGGAAUUGGCGGG
RNAcentral lists this ribosomal RNA (861 nucleotides) under uncultured archaeon. RNAcentral describes it as "bacterial SSU rRNA". It matches the Rfam family "Archaeal small subunit ribosomal RNA", at positions 1 to 872 of the family's 1478-position model. The record is from RNAcentral.